CCUACGGGCGGCAGCAGUGGGGAAUAUUGGACAAUGGGCGAAAGCCUGAUCCAGCCAUGCCGCGUGUGUGAAGAAGGCCUUCGGGUUGUAAAGCACUUUCAGUGGGGAAGAAAGCCUUGGGGCUAAUACCCUCGAGGAAGGACAUCACCCACAGAAGAAGCACCGGCUAACUCCGUGCCAGCAGCCGCGGUAAUACGGAGGGUGCGAGCGUUAAUCGGAAUUACUGGGCGUAAAGCGCGCGUAGGCGGUCUGAUAAGCCGGUUGUGAAAGCCCCGGGCUCAACCUGGGAACUGCAUCCGGAACUGUCAGGCUAGAGUGCAGGAGAGGAAGGUAGAAUUCCCGGUGUAGCGGUGAAAUGCGUAGAGAUCGGGAGGAAUACCAGUGGCGAAGGCGGCCUUCUGGACUGACACUGACGCUGAGGUGCGAAAGCGUGGGUAGCAAACAGGAUUAGAUACCCUAGUAGUC
This 465-nucleotide ribosomal RNA is filed under the name Vreelandella stevensii. RNAcentral describes it as "partial 16S ribosomal RNA". It matches the Rfam family "Bacterial small subunit ribosomal RNA", at positions 338 to 795 of the family's 1533-position model. Lineage: Bacteria; Pseudomonadati; Pseudomonadota; Gammaproteobacteria; Oceanospirillales; Halomonadaceae. The record is from RNAcentral.